ACGAGGGGGCCGCGCCGCGCCCCUGUUCAGUUGGCCACCUAUUGCGCGGAGGGGUGGGCAACCGCCACGUAUUGGCGGCCCGUUGGGGUCCCUUCCAAAGCCUUCCCGAGGUCCCAGGUAAUGACGCUGACGCUGCCCGCAGAUACGCGCCAUUGCCUUCAAGUCUGUCAUGAUUUUGCAAUUCACUUACUAUCGCAUCGUGCUUUUUUAUCGAUGCAGACCAAGCUCCGUUGUGACAAGUUUGAUUCAUUUUGAAUUUUUUGCUAAGCUGUAGAAUACGUCGCGAGGCGACUAAGAAGAGUUUGGUUGGUUCUCGGCGGGCGCCUGGUUCGGGGUGCGACGCACCCGGGGCGUGACCCGCCGAGGCAACCGUUUGGUAACGUUCACAUUGGGUUUGGAGUGUAAACUCGGUAAUGACCUUUUCUUUUGGGGGGCCUGCGGAGGGAUUUCAUUACCGUGUUUAGAACUCCCAAACCCAAUGUGAACGUUACCAAACUGUUGCCUCGGCGGGGUCACGCCCCGGGUGCGUCGCAGCCCCGGAACCAGGCGCCCGCCGGAGGAACCAACCAAACUCUUUCUGUAGUCCCCUCGCGGACGUAUUUCUUACAGCUCUGAGCAAAAAUUCAAAAUGAAUCAAAACUUUCAACAACGGAUCUCUUGGUUCUGGCAUCGAUGAAGAACGCAGCGAAAUGCGAUAAGUAAUGUGAAUUGCAGAAUUCAGUGAAUCAUCGAAUCUUUGAACGCACAUUGCGCCCGCCAGUAUUCUGGCGGGCAUGCCUGUCCGAGCGUCAUUUCAACCCUCGAACCCCUCCGGGGGAUCGGCGUUGGGGAUCGGGACCCCUCACACGGGUGCCGGCCCCUAAAUACAGUGGCGGUCUCGCCGCAGCCUCUCCUGCGCAGUAGUUUGCACAACUCGCACCGGGGGCGCGGCGCGUCCACGUCCGUAAAACACCCAACUUUCUGAAAUGUUGACCUCGGAUCAGGUAGCUGCGAAUCAAUUCCCGCUGAACUUAAGCAUAUCAAGGCCCCGAGAGGAAAAAUCAUUACGGAGUUUUCAACCUCCCAAACCCAAUGUGAACGUUACCAAACUGUUGCCUCGGGCGGGGUCACGCCCCGGGUGCGUCGAGCCCCGGAACCAGGCGCCCGCCGGAGGAACCAACCAAACUCUUUCUGUAGUCCCUCGCGGACGUAUUUCUUACAGCUCUCAGCAAAAAUAUCAAAAUGAGAUCAGAAUUUUCAACAACAGAGUGUGGGUUCUAGCAUCGAUGAAAAAGCAGCGUAAUGCGAUAAGUAAUGUGAAAUUGCAAAA
RNAcentral lists this ribosomal RNA (1309 nucleotides) under Trichoderma hamatum. Its description in RNAcentral is "eukaryotic LSU rRNA". The stretch from base 638 to 791 matches the Rfam family "5.8S ribosomal RNA". The record is from RNAcentral. Lineage: Eukaryota; Fungi; Ascomycota; Sordariomycetes; Hypocreales; Hypocreaceae.